Molecule: ribosomal RNA, 255 nt
Filed under: uncultured bacterium
Lineage: Bacteria
Description: partial 16S ribosomal RNA
Rfam family: Bacterial small subunit ribosomal RNA
Source: RNAcentral
UACGUAGGGGGGCUAGCGUUGUCCGGAAUUAUUGGGCGUAAAGAGCUCGUAGGCGGUCUGUCGCGUCUGCUGUGAAAACUCGGGGGCUUAACCCCGAGCCUGCUUCUGAUACGGGCAGACUAGAGGUAUGCAGGGGAGAACGGAAUUCCUGGUGUAGCGGUGGAAUGCGCAGAUAUCAGGAGGAACAUCCGUGGCGAAGGCGGCUCUCUGGGACGGUACUGACGCUGAGACGCGAAAGCGUGGGGAGCGAACAGG